UACGUAGGGUGCGAGCGUUGCCCGGAUUUAUUGGGCGUAAAGGGCGCGUAGGCGGCUCUGCACGUUCGUUGUGAAAUCGCCCGGCUCAACUGGGCGGGGUCAGCGGAUACGGCAGAGCUUGAGCAAGCUAGGGGGCAAUGGAAUUCCCGGUGUAGUGGUGGAAUGCGUAGAUAUCGGGAGGAACACCUGUGGCGAAAGCGGCUCACUGGACCAUAACUGACGCUGAGGUGCGAAAGCGUGGGGAGCAAACAGG
RNAcentral lists this ribosomal RNA (253 nucleotides) under uncultured prokaryote. RNAcentral describes it as "partial 16S ribosomal RNA". It matches the Rfam family "Bacterial small subunit ribosomal RNA", at positions 524 to 776 of the family's 1533-position model. The record is from RNAcentral.